RNAcentral lists this ribosomal RNA (1296 nucleotides) under metagenome. RNAcentral describes it as "bacterial LSU rRNA". It matches the Rfam family "Bacterial large subunit ribosomal RNA", at positions 1617 to 2925 of the family's 2925-position model. The record is from RNAcentral.
GCCCUAUACCCGUUAAGGCAUGAUGGCCUGUACCCGAAACCGACACAGGUGGGGUGGUAGAGAAUACCGAGGGGCGCGAGAUAACUCUCUCUAAGGAACUCGGCAAAAUGGCCCCGUAACUUCGGGAUAAGGGGUGCCACCGCAAGGUGGUCGCAGUGAAGAGGCCCAGGCGACUGUUUACCAAAAACACAGGUCUCCGCUAAGUCGCAAGACGAUGUAUGGGGGCUGACGCCUGCCCAGUGCCGGAAGGUUAAGGAAGCUGGUCAGCGUAAGCGAAGCUAGCGACUGAAGCCCCGGUGAACGGCGGCCGUAACUAUAACGGUCCUAAGGUAGCGAAAUUCCUUGUCGGGUAAGUUCCGACCCGCACGAAAGGCGUAACGAUCUGGGCGCUGUCUCGGAGAGAGGCUCGGCGAAAUAGAAUUGUCUGUGAAGAUGCGGACUACGUGCACCCGGACAGAAAGACCCUAUGAAGCUUUACUGUAGCUUGGUAUUGUGCCCGGGCUCUGAAUGCGCAGGAUAGGUGGGAGGCUUUGAUCCAUUGCUUGUGGGUGAUGGUGAGCCAACGGUGAGAUACCACUCUUUCAGAGCUAGGGUUCUAACGGUCACCCGUCAUCCGGGGACCGGACAGUAUCAGGUGGGCAGUUUGACUGGGGCGGUCGCCUCCUAAAAGGUAACGGAGGCGCGCAAAGGUUUGCUCAGGCUGGUUGGAAAUCAGCCGACGAGUGUAAAAGCAGAAGCAAGCUUGACUGUGAGACCUACAAGUCGAACAGGGACGAAAGUCGGCUUUAGUGAUCCGACGGUUCUGAGUGGAAGGGCCGUCGCUCAACGGAUAAAAGUUACUCUAGGAUAACAGGCUGAUCUCCCCCAAGAGUUCACAUCGACGGGGAGGUUUGGCACCUCGAUGUCGGCUCAUCGCAACCUGGGGCUGAAGUCGGUCCCAAGGGUUGGGCUGUUCGCCCAUUAAAGCGGUACGCGAGCUGGGUUCAGAACGUCGUGAGACAGUUCGGUCCAUAUCCGGUGCAUGCGCAGGAAUAUUGAGAGGAUUUCUCCCUAGUACGAGAGGACCGGGAGGAACGCACCUCUGGUGUGCCAGUUAUCGUGCCAACGGUAAACGCUGGGUAGCCAUGUGCGGAGUGGAUAACCGCUGAAAGCAUCUAAGUGGGAAGCCCACCUCAAGAUGAGUAUUCCCAUGGCGUUAGCCAGUAAGGUCACGGGAAGAACACCCGUUGAUAGGCUCUACGUGGAAGCCGGGUAACCGGUGAAGCGGAGGAGUACUAAUAGACCGAGGGCUUGACC